GAUGGGACUGCGGCCUAUCAGGCUGUUGGUGGUGUAACGGACCACCAAACCUACGACGGGUACGGGCGAUGGGAGUCGGAGCCCGGAGAUGGGGACUGAGACAAGGCCCCAGGCCCUACGGGGCGCAGCAGGCGCGAAAACUCCGCAAUGCGCGCAAGCGUGACGGGGGGACCCCAAGUGCCGUUGGUCUUUUGAUCGACGGCUUUUCGGGAGUCUAAGAAGCUCCCGGAAUAAGGGCUGGGUAAGGCUGGUGCCAGCCGCCGCGGUAACACCAGCAGCCCAAGUGGUGGCCACGAUUAUUGGGCCUAAAGCGCUCGUAGCCGGGUCAGCAAGUCCCUUGUGAAAUCGGGCCGCCUAACGGUUCGGCGUGCAAGGGAUACUGUUGGUCUUGAGGCCGGGAGAGGUCGGAGGUACUCCUGGGGUAGCGGUGAAAUGCUCUAAUCCUAGGGGGACCACCAGUGGCGAAGGCGUCCGACCAGAACGGACCUGACGGUGAGGGGCGAAGGCUAGGG
RNAcentral lists this ribosomal RNA (512 nucleotides) under uncultured archaeon. Its description in RNAcentral is "bacterial SSU rRNA". It matches the Rfam family "Archaeal small subunit ribosomal RNA", at positions 208 to 716 of the family's 1478-position model. The record is from RNAcentral.